This 24-nucleotide non-coding RNA is filed under the name Arabidopsis thaliana (thale cress). Lineage: Eukaryota; Viridiplantae; Streptophyta; Magnoliopsida; Brassicales; Brassicaceae. The record is from RNAcentral.
UGUCUUUGGGCUUUCCGAAAAGGU